ACGAGGUCGCGGCGGCGGGAAGAUGUAAGUUGUGGGAAUCCGACCCCAUCCGAGCUUCGGGAGCCACCCACUAGGCUUGGCUGGGCGCAUCGUGGAGCCCGCCCGUCUCCCGGUCCCGCGGUGGCAACGGCAGCCUGGCGGCGCAGCGCAGUGGCUGAGAAGAAAGAGUGUGGCCCGGGGCGGGCUGAGUGGGAGGCGCCGAGGCCGCGGCCCGGAAGUGGUCGAGGCUGCGGCGGGCGGAAGGGUGCCCUCGCUUCGUCCGCUCUGCGGCGGGCCCAGUGAGGCCCGCGGGAUCCGGAGCAGCCGGGACCCUGGCCUCUGUCCUCAGGGCCCUCUCGUCGGGCUGGAGACCCAGGCCCGCAUCGCCGGGCGCUGCCCUGGAAGUGCUCGUGGCCUGGCGCCUGGACUGGGGAGUUGCUGCACUUUGGCGUAAAUUGCAAUCGAUUAGGGAUCGUUUCUCAGACUCAAGUUAGAAGUGAGAGUUCAGAUAAGUGAGGCCGCCAUUGCUGCUUUGAACACCUCAGAAGGGGAGAAUGGAUUUAUCAGGAGUGAAAAAGAAGAGCUUGCUAGGAGUCAAAGAAAAUAAUAAAAAGUCCAGCACUAGGGCUCCUUCUCCUACCAAGCGCAAAGACCGCUCUGAUGAGAAGUCCAAGGAUCGCUCUAAAGAUAAAGGAGCCACCAAGGAGUCAAGCGAGAAGGAUCGUGGCAGGGACAAAACUCGAAAGAGGCGCAGUGCUUCCAGUGGUAGCAGCAGCACCAGGUCUCGGUCCAGCUCUACCUCCAGCUCGGGCUCCAGCACCAGCACAGGCUCAAGCAGUGGCUCUAGCUCAUCUUCGGCAUCAAGCCGCUCAGGAAGUUCCAGUACAUCCCGCAGCUCCAGCUCCAGCAGCUCCUCUGGCUCUCCAAGUCCUUCUCGGCGCAGACACGACAAUAGGCGGCGGUCCCGCUCCAAAUCCAAACCACCCAAAAGAGAUGAAAGGAAAGGAAAAGGCGGAGUCCUUCCCCUAAACCCACCAAAGUGCACAUUGGGAGGCUCACCAGGAAUGUGACCAAGGAUCACAUCAUGGAGAUAUUCUCCACCUAUGGGAAAAUUAAAAUGAUUGACAUGCCUGUAGAAAGGAUGCACCCCCAUCUAUCUAAAGGCUAUGCAUAUGUAGAGUUUGAGAAUCCAGAUGAGGCUGAGAAGGCGCUGAAGCAUAUGGACGGAGGACAAAUCGAUGGCCAGGAGAUCACUGCCACUGCUGUGCUGACCCCCUGGCCUAGGCCACCCCCCAGGCGAUUCAGCCCUCCCAGGAGAAUGCUACCACCACCUCCCAUGUGGCGCCGGUCACCCCCACGGAUGAGGAGAAGGUCACGUUCCCCUCGGCGCAGGUCCCCCGUACGCCGGCGAUCCCGCUCCCCCGGCCGCCGCCGCCACAGGAGCCGCUCCAGCUCCAACUCCUCCCGAUAAGCAGGGCCACUGAAGCUCUGCCCCUGUGACUUAUACCCAUCCGACUCAGUUUUGUCACUUUUCUAGCUGAAAGGUGAUCAGUAGGAAAGGAAUCCCUCACUUGGGCAGGCUUUGAAGGCAAAGGCAGCAGUUGAGUUGUUUCCUCUGGCAGCGGAGUUCCAGCUGCAGCAUUGUUGUUGGCUUGGAAUUGUGCCUAUGUGGAUGCCCUCCAGUUUUCUGGCUAGAAAGCUCCCAUGUUGUCAGUUUGGUGGCAGAGCCAGCAGGGAUGAGCAGGGGGCUCCAGGUGGUACAGCCCCAGCCUGGGAUCGUGUUUUUCAUUCCACACAUGUCCUGGGGACAACCUGGUGGCCUGGUGAUGCCCUCAUUUGUUGGCCUGCAGGCUCCCCCAGGAAAGGCUCUACCUUUUGCAGCUGCUGUUCCUGUUAGCCUGGCCCUGCUCCCCUGCUUGAGUCUUUUCUGACCCUGAGGAUCAAAUACCCUAUUAUUUGUCUAAAAUGGUUCUUUUUACAUGUGCUCAUAUGCGUGUGCACAAAUACACAUACACAUCCCACGUCUCCCUUUCUCUCUGAAAUUGGUGAGCAACUUGAGAGCCAGCUCUGCAUUGUCAUCACGGAACCCCCUGUUGUGCUGGUAUUCAUGGUGGUCCUGCAGGUUACCUUGGCAAUGUGUACAUUGCUUUUCUUGACUUUUAUUGUACAGUCAGUACUAUAAAUUUUCUGUUUUGAGUUUUGUAACUUUGUAGCAUUUUAGAUAAUGUUGUGUUUGUACUUUGUUGUGUAGAGUAAAAGGAUUGUGUUGAAUAAACCUAGGAUUACAGUGCA
Non-coding RNA from Vicugna pacos (alpaca), 2271 nucleotides. NCBI's taxonomy places the organism in Eukaryota, Metazoa, Chordata, Mammalia, Artiodactyla, Camelidae. The record is from RefSeq and is a predicted model, not a curated record.